RNAcentral lists this non-coding RNA (30 nucleotides) under Rattus norvegicus (Norway rat). The record is from RNAcentral. Lineage: Eukaryota; Metazoa; Chordata; Mammalia; Rodentia; Muridae.
UAAAACAAGGUUGGUUGUGAGAAAGGGAAG